This 338-nucleotide ribosomal RNA is filed under the name soil fungal sp. DM2-285. RNAcentral's name for it is "eukaryotic LSU rRNA". It matches the Rfam family "Eukaryotic large subunit ribosomal RNA", at positions 147 to 485 of the family's 3401-position model. The record is from RNAcentral. Lineage: Eukaryota; Fungi.
AAUUUGUAGAGGAUGCUUUUGGUGAGGUGCCGCCCGAGUUCCCUGGAACGGGACGCCACAGAGGGUGAGAGCCCCGUCUGGCUGGCCGCCGAGCCUCUGUAAAGCUCCUUCGACGAGUCGAGUAGUUUGGGAAUGCUGCUCAAAAUGGGAGGUAUAUGUCUUCUAAAGCUAAAUAUUGGCCAGAGACCGAUAGCGCACAAGUAGAGUGAUCGAAAGAUGAAAAGCACCUUGAAAAGAGGGUUAAAUAGUACGUGAAAUUGUUGAAAGGGAAGCGCUUGUGACCAGACUUGGGCGCCGCGGAUCAUCCGGGGUUCUCUCCUGUGCACUUCGCCGCGUCU